RNAcentral lists this unclassified non-coding RNA (355 nucleotides) under soil metagenome. Its description in RNAcentral is "partial contains 5.8S ribosomal RNA, internal transcribed spacer 2, and large subunit ribosomal RNA". The stretch from base 1 to 120 matches the Rfam family "5.8S ribosomal RNA", at positions 35 to 154 of the family's 154-position model. The record is from RNAcentral.
GAUGAAGAACGCAGCGAAAUGCGAUACGUAAUGUGAAUUGCAGAAUUCCGUGAAUCAUCGAAUCUUUGAACGCACAUUGCGCCCGCCAGUAUUCUGGCGGGCAUGCCUGUCCGAGCGUCAUUUCAACCCUCGAACCCCUCCGGGGGGUCGGCGUUGGGGAUCGGCCCUGCCUCUUGGCGGUGGCCGUCUCCGAAAUACAGUGGCGGUCUCGCCGCAGCCUCUCCUGCGCAGUAGUUUGCACACUCGCAUCGGGAGCGCGGCGCGUCCACAGCCGUUAAACACCCAACUUCUGAAAUGUUGACCUCGGAUCAGGUAGGAAUACCCGCUGAACUUAAGCAUAUCAAUAAGCGGAGGA